CAUGCUAGAGGGAUCAGUAAAUCCUGUGGAGUAGUUGAUGAACCAGCUGACAGGGAAUGCCCAGCCUGCUGUGCAGCAGCAUUUCUGCUGUCCUCUGUGUAAAACAAGAGCACAUAGGAAUGUUAGCACCAAAGCAGCAGAAUUGCUGAAACACUGAUCUUUCAGAGCAAGACUUCUCAUCUCAACACGCCCCAACACUAAGAUGCAGCUGGGCACCAGACUCUGGAGAUGGGCUGGACUCCACUGGCACUGAAAUGUAAAGACAGCACAGUCAAAAGAGAAGAGGCGAACUGAAAGCUAUCUCUGUAUAUAGACUGUCCAACAGCAAUGCAGAGUGGGCAAGGCACUGGAGGGCUGACAUUCCCCGUGAAGGAGAGAGCAUUCAAGCAUGCUAAAAAUAGAUCCUUCUUGAGAAUGAGGUUGGGCAGCUGCCUCCCUUACUGCCACCCCUUAUGAUAUAAAUGCUUCUCCCCAUACUCUGUGAUUACUGAAGAGCCUGAGAGGGCACAUGCAGUUUGAGUAGUUGAAUUAAGAAACAAUGUCUAAAGAAUGCAAAUUUCUGACUCCUUGAAAAUGCCCGUGUAAUGUCUGAGUCUUAGUGACCAUUCAUCCUAUGGAAAUGAGCAUAAGAAUGUCUAUAUCAAGGUCUUCUUAGACCAAGAUCUUGACAUUGGCAAAGAAGAGAUGCCCAAUUACAUGAACAUAGCAAGUGUAUAGUGAUGUUUGCUGAGAAUAUCCCCAUAGCCCUUCUGACUUGUUGCUUUUAGAUGUAAUAUAAAAUAAAUUCUUUUCUUCUAUUGAUGUGACCAUUUCCUGGAGUUGUGCAGAACACAGCCGUGGUCAAGAAGUUAAACACUUUAUGUGCUACCCAGGUGCAAAACCUAAUGUAUUCUGUAGCAAAAGUUCUCCAUCUUGUGAUACAGUUAAAUAAAGACAAACACAGUUCUUCAGUUCUA
Gallus gallus (chicken) is the source of this 956-nucleotide long non-coding RNA. RefSeq lists it as uncharacterized. The transcript is spliced from 2 exons. NCBI's taxonomy places the organism in Eukaryota, Metazoa, Chordata, Aves, Galliformes, Phasianidae. The record is from RefSeq and is a predicted model, not a curated record.